CAGUAGCCGCGGUAAUACAGAGGGUGCAAGCGUUAGUCGGAAUUACUGGGCGUAAAGCGCGCGUAGGUGGUUUGUUAAGUUGGAUGUGAAAUCCCCGGGCUCAACCUGGGAACUGCAUCCAAAACUGGCAAGCUAGAGUAUGGUAGAGGGUGGUGGAAUUUCCUGUGUAGCGGUGAAAUGCGUAGAUAUAGGAAGGAACACCAGUGGCGAAGGCGACCACCUGGACUGAUACUGACACUGAGGUGCGAAAGCGUGGGGAGCAAACAGGAUUAGAUACCCCAGUAGUCCCUGUCUCUUAUAC
This 301-nucleotide ribosomal RNA is filed under the name uncultured bacterium. RNAcentral's name for it is "partial 16S ribosomal RNA". It matches the Rfam family "Bacterial small subunit ribosomal RNA", at positions 509 to 807 of the family's 1533-position model. The record is from RNAcentral.